This 253-nucleotide ribosomal RNA is filed under the name uncultured bacterium. RNAcentral describes it as "partial 16S ribosomal RNA". It matches the Rfam family "Bacterial small subunit ribosomal RNA", at positions 524 to 776 of the family's 1533-position model. The record is from RNAcentral.
UACGUAGGUGGCAAGCGUUGUCCGGAAUCAUUGGGCGUAAAGCGCGUGUAGGCGGUCCGGUAAGUCCGCUGUGAAAGUCGGGGGCUCAACCCUCGAAUGCCGGUGGAUACUGUCGGGCUAGAGUGCGGAAGAGGCGAGUGGAAUUCCUGGUGUAGCGGUGAAAUGCGCAGAUAUCAGGAGGAACACCAAUUGCGAAGGCAGCUCGCUGGGACGUUACUGACGCUGAGACGCGAAAGCGUGGGGAGCAAACAGG